GACGAACGCUGGCGGCGUGCUUAACACAUGCAAGUCGAACGGAAAGGCCCUGCUUGCAGGGUACUCGAGUGGCGAACGGGUGAGUAACACGUGGGUGAUCUGCCCUGCACUUCGGGAUAAGCCUGGGAAACUGGGUCUAAUACCGGAUAGGAGCCAUUUUUAGUGUGAUGGUUGGAAAGUUUUUUCGGUGUAGGAUGAGCUCGCGGCCUAUCAGCUUGUUGGUGGGGUAAUGGCCUACCAAGGCGGCGACGGGUAGCCGGCCUGAGAGGGUGGACGGCCACAUUGGGAUUGAGAGACGGCCCAGACUCCGACGGGGGGGAGCAGGGGGGAAAAUUGCACAAAGGGCGCCAGCCUGAUGCAGCGACGCCGCGGGGGGGAUGACGGCCUUAGGGUUGGAAACACCUUUCGCUAGGGACGAAGCUUUUUGUGACGGUACCUAGAUAAGAAGCACCGGCUAACUACGUG
Molecule: ribosomal RNA, 465 nt
Filed under: uncultured bacterium
Lineage: Bacteria
Description: partial 16S ribosomal RNA
Rfam family: Bacterial small subunit ribosomal RNA
Source: RNAcentral